This 248-nucleotide small nucleolar RNA is filed under the name Penicillium decumbens. Its description in RNAcentral is "Small nucleolar RNA snR191". It matches the Rfam family "Small nucleolar RNA snR191". Lineage: Eukaryota; Fungi; Ascomycota; Eurotiomycetes; Eurotiales; Aspergillaceae. The record is from Rfam by way of RNAcentral.
UUCCAUCGCUAAGUCAAGGCUUCUUCCUACGACUAUACGUCGUCUUGUUUCUCCAUGGAGGUCUGUCUGUUACAGCUUUGGUAGAUCAACAAUGUCCCGCACCGAAUCUCUUUCUGAGGCUAGGUUGACAGGCCUUCGUCUUGAAGGCCCGUCGUAAGGGUCAUAUGUGUUUUGUUUUUGAGUUGAGUUCUGCCUCUGCCUUUUUCGGUGGCUCAGUGGUAGAACUCUUAGUAACAUCCCACACAUUC